GGGGAUAGCUCAAGUGGUGGAGUUCAUGCUUAGCAUGCAUGAGGUCCUAGGUUCAAUCCCCAGUAUCUCCU
This 71-nucleotide transfer RNA is filed under the name Camelus bactrianus (Bactrian camel). It matches the Rfam family "tRNA". From Rfam's summary of the family: Transfer RNA (tRNA) molecules are approximately 80 nucleotides in length. Their secondary structure includes four short double-helical elements and three loops (D, anti-codon, and T loops). RNAcentral also lists the same sequence under 2 other names. Lineage: Eukaryota; Metazoa; Chordata; Mammalia; Artiodactyla; Camelidae. The record is from Rfam by way of RNAcentral.